Molecule: ribosomal RNA, 352 nt
Filed under: uncultured bacterium
Lineage: Bacteria
Description: bacterial SSU rRNA
Rfam family: Bacterial small subunit ribosomal RNA
Source: RNAcentral
GGAGGGUGCAAGCGUUAAUCGGAAUCACUGGGCGUAAAGCGCACGUAGGCGGCUUGGUAAGUCAGGGGUGAAAUCCCACAGCCCAACUGUGGAACUGCCUUUGAUACUGCCAGGCUUGAGUACCGGAGAGGGUGGCGGAAUUCCAGGUGUAGGAGUGAAAUCCGUAGAUAUCUGGAGGAACACCGGUGGCGAAGGCGGCCACCUGGACGGUAACUGACGCUGAGGUGCGAAAGCGUGGGUAGCAAACAGGAUUAGAUACCCUGGUAGUCCACGCUGUAAACGAUGGGUGCUGGGUGCUGGGAUGUAUGUCUCGGUGCCGUAGCUAACGCGAUAAGCACCCCGCCUGGGGAGU